Molecule: transfer RNA, 62 nt
Filed under: Oestrus ovis (sheep bot fly)
Lineage: Eukaryota; Metazoa; Arthropoda; Insecta; Diptera; Oestridae
Description: tRNA-Cys
Source: RNAcentral
GGCUUUAUAGUCAAUAAUGACAUUAGAUUGCAAAUCUAAAGGAGUGUAAUAUACUAAGGCUU